UCUUCGUCAGUUUCAGGGUCUAAAUAACCAGAUAAGAUAUCGGCAAGACGGCGUUCGCCAGUUAAAAAAUCAUUAUAUUCUUUUAAU
RNAcentral lists this transfer RNA (87 nucleotides) under Acinetobacter baumannii BJAB07104. RNAcentral's name for it is "tRNA-Ser". Lineage: Bacteria; Pseudomonadati; Pseudomonadota; Gammaproteobacteria; Moraxellales; Moraxellaceae. The record is from RNAcentral.